RNAcentral lists this ribosomal RNA (261 nucleotides) under Triticum aestivum (bread wheat). RNAcentral's name for it is "partial small subunit ribosomal RNA". The record is from RNAcentral. Lineage: Eukaryota; Viridiplantae; Streptophyta; Magnoliopsida; Poales; Poaceae.
AUGGACACGUCCACAUGGCACCUGUUUAACUCCGUUCAUGCCUGCUGGGCGAGCACAUGCACCACGGGCACCACCGACAGAAAAGCAAAGGCAUCGAUUACCAUGCUAGUGUCAUGAGUCAUCUGGAAUGAGCGCAACGCAAGAGUGUUCAGGCAAAAGAGCGCGCCUCCGCAAAUCUUGCUCAGCAUCAUUGAAGACGAGGCAAACCUUUGGAUCAAAGCUGGGGCAAAGAAACUAGGGUCUUUUUUAUUGCGAGAAUAA